This 107-nucleotide small nucleolar RNA is filed under the name Sorghum bicolor (sorghum). Its description in RNAcentral is "Plant small nucleolar RNA R71". It matches the Rfam family "Plant small nucleolar RNA R71". From Rfam's summary of the family: R71 is a member of the C/D box family of snoRNAs containing the C (UGAUGA) and D (CUGA) box motifs. Multiple nearly identical copies of this snoRNA have been identified in Arabidopsis, and it is thought to function as a 2'-O-ribose methylation guide for 18S ribosomal RNA. Lineage: Eukaryota; Viridiplantae; Streptophyta; Magnoliopsida; Poales; Poaceae. The record is from Rfam by way of RNAcentral.
AUUCCAUGGUGAGGACAGUCUGAAGUGUAUCCUUGAAAAUGCUCCCAUGCUUCUGAAAUGGCUUCUGUCUUCUGUUGUUGAAACUGACAAUAUUUCCUCUUAAGGCA